UUGGUUUUUUCAAAAUCGAAUGUAGAUCCUUGUGUCUACUAUAAAUAUGAAAAUGAACAUGUUAUGUUUAUAACUAUAUAUCUAUAUAUGACAUUUUGUUGUUUCACAACUGUCAUGAGUCAGCAAACAAUAUAAAAAUAAAAAUGAAGAAUAAUUUCAAAAUGAAUGAGCUUGAAAUUGCUUAUUGUUAUAUUGGACUUUGUAUUUCAUACAUUUCAGAAGGAAUAGCCAUUGAUCAAACUAGGUACAUAGAAAAUACAUUAAGACGUUUUGGUAUGGAACAAUGUAACUCAGUAGGAACUCCAAUGGAACCGAAUAUCAAGUUUUCAAGUUCUGAAAAAUUUGAAAGUAUACCUUACCAGGAAGCCACUGGCUGCUUAUUAUACAUCUCACAAGGAACUAGGCCAGAUAUAUGCUAUGCAGUGCAUACAUUAUGUCGAUAUAAUAGUUCUCAUACAGAAGAGCAUUGGAAUGCUGUUAAGAGGUUAUUUCGAUACUUACAAGGGUGCAGCGAUAUCUUGGAAUUCAAAAAGGCAGCAAACUGUUGCCUUGUCUACUACUGAGGCAGAGUAUAUGGCGCUCUCAGCUGCUACUCAAGAAGCUAUGUGGCUGAGACAGUUGCACUGUGAACUGUGGCCUUCUUUAAAGGUUACACCUAUUACUUUGUACUGUGAUAAUCAAAGUGCUAUUAAACUUACAGGUACUUACAGUUAUCAUGCUAGGAGUAAACACAUUGAUGUUCGUCACCACUAUCUGAGGAACAAAGUUGAAUGUGGUGAUGUCAAGAUUGAAUAUGUGGGCACUGAUUCGAUGGUUGCUGACUGCCUCACCAAAGCCCUACCGAAGCCCAAACACCAGCACUUCCUCAUCGCUAUGGGUUUGCGUUCAAGGGAGGAUGUUAAACUGAACGCAACCACUUAAUAUUAUGUAGUCUGUAUCUGUCAAUGUAAUCUGUAUCUGUCAAUGUAGUCUGUUAUAAUAAUUGUAUCGCCCCUGUCUGUUCCAAGAAAUUGAGCGGUUCGCACCAUUGUCUAA
Long non-coding RNA from Pieris napi, 1035 nucleotides. RefSeq lists it as uncharacterized. NCBI's taxonomy places the organism in Eukaryota, Metazoa, Arthropoda, Insecta, Lepidoptera, Pieridae. The record is from RefSeq and is a predicted model, not a curated record. The transcript has 2 exons.